GAGAGUUCUCUUUCAGUCCACUAAAGGAAGGUUGCCUGUUGGAAACAGCCACCUAUUUAUUCAUUCACCAACUCAAUCUUUUACACACAGACGGCACGACUGGGUUGAUUUGUGAAUGAUGUGGGAGCUGAUUUCGUCCUGUAAACGUCUUUUCUUGAACUGAAGGGAGCUCCC
RNAcentral lists this microRNA precursor (174 nucleotides) under Picea abies (Norway spruce). Its description in RNAcentral is "miR319e stem-loop (pab-MIR319e)". Its record names the gene pab-MIR319e. The record is from miRBase by way of RNAcentral. Lineage: Eukaryota; Viridiplantae; Streptophyta; Pinopsida; Pinales; Pinaceae.